RNAcentral lists this long non-coding RNA (210 nucleotides) under Elaeis guineensis (African oil palm). RNAcentral describes it as "long non-coding RNA (EGUI_LNC073662)". Lineage: Eukaryota; Viridiplantae; Streptophyta; Magnoliopsida; Arecales; Arecaceae. The record is from RNAcentral.
ACAGAUGCCUGCGGCUGUUGCUGCUGCUGCAUGGCCUGCACUGCUUCGAUGAGGCCUCUGACCUGCUGAACCAGUAGGUCGAACUGCUCCAAACCGACCGCCAUUGCCGGAGGAGGAGGAGGAGGAGCCUGAGAAACUGGAGGCGAGGCCGGUGCCUGAGAUCUGACCGCGGAGGUCGUUGAUCGCCUGGUGGAUGCCUUUCGGGGAGGC